RNAcentral lists this ribosomal RNA (490 nucleotides) under uncultured bacterium. RNAcentral describes it as "bacterial SSU rRNA". It matches the Rfam family "Bacterial small subunit ribosomal RNA", at positions 15 to 507 of the family's 1533-position model. The record is from RNAcentral.
GAUCCUGGCUCAGGAUGAACGCUGGCGGCGUGCUUAACACAUGCAAGUCGAACGGAACUCUUUGGAUCGAGACUUCGGUCAAGUGAAUCUGAGUUUAGUGGCGGACGGGUGAGUAACGCGUGAGGAACCUGCCUUUCAGAGGGGGACAACAGUUGGAAACGACUGCUAAUACCGCAUAACGCAUAUUGAUCGCAUGGUCGAUAUGCCAAAGAUUUAUCGCUGAAAGAUGGGCUCGCGUACGAUUAGAUAGUUGGUGAGGUAACGGCUCACCAAGUCGACGAUCGUUAGCCGGACUGAGAGGUUGAACGGCCACAUUGGGACUGAGACACGGCCCAGACUCCUACGGGAGGCAGCAGUGAGGAAUAUUGGGCAAUGGGCGCAAGCCUGACCCAGCAAUGCCGCGUGAAGGAAGACGGUUUUCGGAUUGUAAACUUCUUUAAGAGGGACGAUAAUGACGGUACCUCUUGAAUAAGCCACGGCUAACUACGUG